CCUACGGGAGGCAGCAGUGGGGAAUCUUGCGCAAUGGGCGAAAGCCUGACGCAGCAACGCCGCGUGCGGGAUGAAGGCCUUCGGGCUGUAAACCGCUUUCAGCAGGAACGAAAAUGACGGUACCUGCAGAAGAAGGAGCGGCCAACUACGUGCCAGCAGCCGCGGUGACACGUAGGCUCCAAGCGUUGUCCGGAUUUAUUGGGCGUAAAGAGCUCGUAGGCGGUCUAAUAAGUCGGGUGUGAAAACUCUGGGCUCAACCCGGAGACGCCAUCCGAUACUGUUAUGACUUGAGUUCAGGAGGGGAGCGGGGAAUUCCUAGUGUAGCGGUGAAAUGCGCAGAUAUUAGGAGGAACACCGGUGGCGAAGGCGCCGCUCUGGACUGAAACUGACGCUG
This 394-nucleotide ribosomal RNA is filed under the name uncultured bacterium. Its description in RNAcentral is "bacterial SSU rRNA". It matches the Rfam family "Bacterial small subunit ribosomal RNA", at positions 338 to 748 of the family's 1533-position model. The record is from RNAcentral.